GACAGAGGGUGCAAACGUUGUUCGGAAUUACUGGGCGUAAAGCGCGUGUAGGCGGCUUGGCGAGUCGGGUGUGAAAGCCCCGGGCUCAACCUGGGAAGUGCACUCGAAACUGCUUGGCUUGAGUACUGGAGAGGGAAGCGGAAUUCUCGGUGUAGAGGUGAAAUUCGUAGAUAUCGAGAGGAACACCGGUGGCGAAGGCGGCUGCCUGGGCAGUCACUGACGCUGAGACGCGAAAGCGUGGGGAGCAAACAGG
This 253-nucleotide ribosomal RNA is filed under the name uncultured bacterium. Its description in RNAcentral is "partial 16S ribosomal RNA". It matches the Rfam family "Bacterial small subunit ribosomal RNA", at positions 524 to 776 of the family's 1533-position model. The record is from RNAcentral.